GAUGAAGAACGUAGCGAAAUGCGAUAAGUAAUGUGAAUUGCAGAAUUCAGUGAAUCAUCGAAUCUUUGAACGCACAUUGCGCCCCCUGGUAUUCCGGGGGGCAUGCCUGUUCGAGCGUCAUUUCACCACUCAAGCCUCGCUUGGUAUUGGGCAACGCGGUCCGCCGCGUGCCUCAAAUCGACCGGCUGGGUCUUCUGUCCCCUAAGCGUUGUGGAAACUAUUCGCUAAAUGGUGUUCGGGAGGCUACGCCGUAAAACAACCCCAUUUCUAAGGUUGACCUCGGAUCAGGUAGGGAUACCCGCUGAACUUAAGCAUAUCAAUAAGCGGAGGA
RNAcentral lists this unclassified non-coding RNA (331 nucleotides) under soil metagenome. RNAcentral's name for it is "partial contains 5.8S ribosomal RNA, internal transcribed spacer 2, and large subunit ribosomal RNA". The stretch from base 1 to 120 matches the Rfam family "5.8S ribosomal RNA", at positions 35 to 154 of the family's 154-position model. The record is from RNAcentral.